UCCAGCAGCUCCUUUCUACCCGUGCAGUAGCAGCACCCGUUAGAAAACUCGAGACUCAGAUCACGCCUGGCGGAGUCUUCCACGGAGGAAACAUCUUUGGUCAGCUUGGUGCUCGCAGGACGCUGGCACCCCAGGGCCUGGGGCCUGCCCACAAAGGCAGAAGCUGCUUCUGGAGUCAAAGUGGAAAAUCUCACCGGCGCGGCCACACGGGCUAGAGCGCAGGCUUCCACCUGCCCACCGGCACACAAAGAAGCCAUUUCCGUUUCUCAGGAGGCCAGGCGGCCUGGCAUCACCAGUUGGCAGCUGCUAACUGAGCGGGGGCCCACCGUUGAGGAAGUAGGUCAUCAUCUCGCCUUUGCCCUUGACCUUGACCACACCCCUGCACUCCAGCUGGUACGUGUUGGCAGCCAACACCUGGUACAUGUCCGUGGUGACCUGAGGAGGCAAUGGAGAGGUUCAGAUCCCUGAACUGCCUGUCGUCGUCCACAAUGACAGGUGCACCCUGUAGCAAUCUCACGCUGCUGCCAUCGAUCCUGAGCAUGUGACCAGCGUGCUCACCCAAGUCUCACUCCACGGCAGCUAGAUUAAAUGGGAUAAGCAGUGGCCCUCAAACGCAGAGGGAAGUCCUAUUAUCUCAGGCUCACAAAACCUGAGUCCCUUCCCUAGGGUUUCACAGCUAACCAAUGGCAGAGCCCGCAUCCAGGUCUGUGUCCUACUGCCCAUCUGCUUCAGCUUUUGGAACAAAGAGGGGGACUGAGCAGUGGCCUCGGUAAUCACCGCACUACUGCUGGGUGAAGGAGAAAGCAGCUAUACAAGCGCGAAUCUCACGAGGGGAGCUCCUUGAGCACAUCCCACAGUACCGCUGAGGCUCCUGGCCCUUCCUGGCUGUCAGGCGGGGGGAGAAGGCCCGGGAAUCUCUGGGUGGGCUACUGGAAGGUGACCCUGCUGCGGUACCAUGCGUAUUCCAGGAAUGGGAAAGCCCUCUGCAAAGCUGAGGUGGAGGCCACUGUGUGGUUGCACAGAGUCCUUCACUUGGCUGUGGGUGGGGUCAGAAGCUCUGCAAAUGCACGUGCCUCUCUCCCCAUCUCCCGUCUUGUCCCUUCUCCCCUUGGCACAGGGAUGCAGGUGGGAGAAAGCAGUUUGCUCAGGUCACUCCAACAGCACCUACAUGCCAGCCAGGCGGGGCUGAUCUGGCCAGAGCUAUGCUUGGGCCGACUCUUUGUUCAUAGGUCCCACGGGAGAGGGAAUCUAAGGGACAUUUGAGCAGCGUCAGUGUGAGCAAAGAAAGGGGCAUGCAAGAGAGCACAGUUCAAAAGUGGGGACACUGAGGCCAGGGAAGCUAAGUGACCUGCCCACAGCCUUGUGGGGCACUGGGGGCUGGAGGGUACAGGAAGGGAGCCCAGUCCAGGGCCUCACUCUUGUCAGACUGGAGCAGAGGGAAUCAAGGAAGGCCUGGGACUCAAGUGCCAGCUUGCAAAGGAUAGAGAAGAGAAAUCUCUGGGCCUCUGGCCAGGCCCCUUGGCUGUUGGUGGCACCAUCCCAGGGACCAGUGGCCUUGCCUGGUUCCCCUGAAAUAGGCCCUGAGUGCCGUGGGCUCCAUGUGGCAGGACCUUGCCCCCCCCCCCAUAAUCUUUGUGUCCUGCUGCGUUAGCCGGGACCCCUCAAUUCCUUCUGCGGCCAGUAGAGGGCUCUGCGCGGGCUGGAGCUCUGUCCAAGGUGCUGAGGGCUGGAAACACACUUGGGGUUCCAGGGACCAGCGGGCGGCCUGCCCCCAAGACCAUGCGGCACAGCCUCAGGCCCGCCAGGUGGGCCCCAGCCCUCACCUGGAUGCGGUCCGGCACGCCGGUGCUGUCCAUGCGGCUGGCCACAUUCACCGUAUUGCCCCAGAUGUCGUACUGAGGCUUGCGAGCCCCGAUCACCCCGGCCACCACGGGGCCGAUGUUGAGCCCUGCAGGGGACAGAAGUCGGCACGUUCUCUUCGGGGCUCAGACCAGCGCUCGCCCUCACUCUCAUCCCUCCCGCGAUGCCCAGCGGGUUCCUCUUGGCCUGAAGACAGCCAGGAGCCUCUAAGGGCCUGACGUCAGGCUUGGCCCCGCAGCUCCCGCCCCGCCAAGCCAGACCACAGAGGCCUGUUCACGCAGCACCGCUCCUGUACGCGUGCCACCCAGGUGGCCGCUGCCAGUCCAUCAGCAGGACCACCCUCUUCGAGCACCCGGGGACUUGCCACAUCAUCCGGUUGCCUUUCCAUAAUCCUCCUUCUCAGGGGCAUUUCAGUUUUCACUGCCAGUUCAGGCUCCGCGUACCAGAGCCCCCCCUUCUCUUCCUCCUCACCUCUGCUGCUGCUUUCAGGGGCACUACCAUGGUGGCUCCUCCUAACCCACGGUCUCUUCCGUGUCCAAGUGGGCCUCCCCCGGGCGUCUGAGCUAGGGCGGGCCGGGAUGUCGCCAGGGCCCAGCUCCAGAAGCAAGGCUGCUGCCCUCCACGUGGGCUCCCUGUCUCACUCCUGGCAAUUUGCUCUAAUCUCCCCGACGUCCUCCCAGUCUUACCCACACCAACCCCGAUCACCCUGCCACCCAGCAUCCACUGUGCUGGUUCCCCCACCUCAAGCGUCCUCCCUCCUCCCCAGGCAAGAACCUUCCCCAGCACACCUGGCUUAGCUGACGUGGUCUAGACAGUUCCUGCCACGUCUCCAAGCCCCUGGGCACUCCUCCCUCUCGCCCCAGAAACUCUCACCCGGGGCUGCAUCAAGCCUCACCGUUGCAUGAGAGGGAGGACUACAAACAUAGACCCUUCCCUCCACAGCCCUCCUCCUCGGUCCUGCCAGGCCACAUGCGGCUUUUUACCCCACCUGCUGACCCCAGGCUGGACUGGCCGGAAGCCAAGCUCACCGAUCUUCAUCUGGAAGUUGUUGAAGGAGUGCUCAUUGAUGUACUUCAUUUGGUCCAUGAGCUUCAUGGCAAAGUCAGCCAGGGCUUUGAUGUGGGUCUUGCCCACCUUGUCGUAUGUAGAGUCAUUGAGGCCUGAGGCGGCCAUGUAGGUGCUGCCAAUGGUCUUGAUCUUCUCCAGCUGCCUGAACCGAUCCUCGCUGAUGAUCUGGAUGGAAGGAGGCCAAACCUGGGUCACCGCCAAGGCUGGGGCACUGAGGUCUGCAGGGAAGGGCAGCAGCAUGGCCCCUCAUACCCCCUCGGUUCACACAGGGGGCCCGUCUCCAUGCCAACGUGUGAGCCUGACAAAGCAGACCUCCCAGGGACACGCCCUCAUCUUUGUCCAGAGAGACACCCUUCUUCUACCUCCAGGCCCAGCCAGAAGCCUGCCCAGACCCACUUCAGCCAAGGACUUUGCAUCAUUGUCCUUCUUCCUCCCUUGGCCUUGGAGGUCCUCCUUCCUUGGACUCUUUCGAAAGCCAGGCCCCGACCCAGCGCAUGCCCAGCCCCAGGUGGCAAGAGAGAAACAGCAGCGAAUGGGGAGGACUGGCGGGAUAGCCGGCCAGGGUCUCAGAAGCCCCCUCUGUCACCUACCGGCCGCGACCUUGGCCGAGCCACGUCUGUGGACCUGUUUCGUCCUUUGUAGGAGGCCAGGGGCCUGUCCUCGGGUGCCCUGGCGUCCCUCCUGCUCCAGGGACCCACGCGCCCCCCACUCCCCAGCCGCACCUCAUCAAAGUCAGCGAUGAUCUCAUUGAGCAGCCGCAGGCACUCGACACCCUCAUUGUUGGCCUCAAGCUCCACGUAGAACUCGGAGAAGUUGGCGAUGGAGGCGAACAUGACAGCCACGCACUCGCACGACUGGUAGUAGAGCUCGUCGUUGCGUCGCUCGCGGGCCAGGAAGUGGGCAGCCACGUCCUUGGGCAGGAUGUUGUGCAGCAGCCGCCGGUUGUAGGCCUGCAGCUCCUCCAUCUCCUCCUUCUCCUCCGUGGCCUAGGACACGGCACCGGUCGGAGGGAGGGGUGUACAGGCCGCCGCCCCGGGCCCCCCCACUCCUCCCCACCUCCCACUCUCUGCGAGGAGCAGUGACAGCAGGAAAGCGACAGGCGUGUUCGCACCCACUGGGCCUGGCCGCCCCUCAGAACACGACACGCGGGAGGGUGCUGGACUCAGGGCCUGGAGGAGAGGCCGAGCGCAGCCUGUCUGCGCAGAGCUAGGCCGACACGGCGGCUCCGGGGCUGGUCCCAGACCGCACCGCCAGUGGCCCUCCGGCGACCAAGCGCUCCCCCGCUGUCCCUUUCCCUCUUCCUAUCAGGGAGCGCCGUUUGAGGAGGGUCCCUCCUGCAGACUGACCCAAAGCCCUGCCGCUCCCCCUGGUUCCCCCAAGGGCGGGCAUGCCCCAGGGCCAGGAGGUGCAGAUGCCCCAAAGGGCCACCUGGGGCGGGAUGGGGACGUCACCACUGAUUUUUGUUCUCCCCCACUUUCUUGGGUCUGGGAAAUCAGGGUUUGUGGUCACUCACCCUCCAGGUUAAAGGGACAGUGCAGAGCUCUGGAAUCAAGUGGCCAAGAGUGGCUCAGGCUGAAGCGCGGAGGUGCAGGAGCCACCUGACCAGAGUUCAUGGGACACAGGAGGUACAGAGGGCAGUCUGCUGGCUUCCUCCCCCUGAGGGCAAGCCAAGUGGCCCCUUUAACGGAGAGUGACCAUGUUGGCAAACAGGCGGGUAAGGACCACUGUGGGGCCGCUGCAAAGGUCUCGCCAGCCCUCUUGGACCCGCCCUAACUCAACGUGGAGGCCUGUCUGUCCGGCUGCAACAGGACCUCCACCAGGGCCGGGGCUACUUCCCGGCUCUCCCGGUGGGUGGCAGCUGCUUUAGGGAAACUGCCAGUACCCCUGCCCGAGGCCACGGGACCUGGGUCUAGCAGGAACAAAAGUCAGGGACCCCAAGGCUCAGAGGCCCAGCCUAGCCUUGCACCCGAGCUGACGGCACCACAGUCCAUCGCUCCUACGGUCACUGGAAACAUGGCUUCGAGAAUGGGGGUCGCGCCUAUGGAAGUUCCUGGGCCCUGGGACGCCAGGUGGGCCCAGCAGGCAUGUGCUAUCUUCCAACCCACAUGACCUCUGCUUCCGGGAGGCUCCCUCGGGCCACCCCCUCUUCAUCACCUGGGGCCACCGCCCCGAGCUCUGAGAUGGGUGUGCAGGAGGGAACAGGCUGAGUGGGAAUCCCCCACUGGAGGGCUGCUCCCUGGACGAGCCCCGGCUGGUCCAUCUGCCCCUGGAGAUGCACGGGCUGCCCACGGUCCUGCUGCCUGCUGAGACCACAGCCCGGGACCCAGGAGCCCGCCAGCUCCUCUGAUCAGCCCAGCAGGUGGCCGUGGAGGCUGGGGUUGGACAGUGGGAGCAGGGCUACUGCUGGGAACACAGGCGAAGACCUGCCCAGAACUCUGAGCACGCUGCCCUGAGACAUGAUGCUGGGCCGCUCCCCACGCAGCCAGCUGCUUCUAGGACUGGGCUCAGGCCGGGCAGGAGGGCCCAGGGGUCCAAAGCCCCCUGCUGAUCCUAAUGAGGUCACUGCCCUGGGGGACGGACAAGAGUCGGCUCUCGCGACAGCGGAGACCCAGCGGUCUGGCCAGGAGCAGGCCCGAUCCUUCGUGCAGGUGCUUCAGGGAAGCUAAGGACCUCAGGCCCCCCGCCUCCCUGUCGCCCUGGAGGACGGGACAGGGAGGGACAGGUAAGCAUCACAAGCCCGCGGCUGGGGCUCAGGGGAGAGAGACCGACGCACCUGGCAGGUAGGGAUGUGCUCACCCUUCCUACCUGUGUGCAGGGGCCUCUGUUGCCUGGGCACCGGGUGGGGGUGGUGAGGGAGCCCCCGGCUGUUCUGCUCAGCCCCGGCCGGCAGCCUCUCACUGACCCUGUGCAUUCAGGGGCUGGACAGAGACCUGGCGUGGGGGGGACAGGUCCCCAAGACAGGCUGAGUGGCAGCCUCAGCCUUCCCUUGCUUCUGCCCGUUUCUCGAGGUCUCUGCAACACAACUUAGCUGCCCAUCAGCAACCGUCUUGGGGGCCGGGGACUCCCUGGGGCUUCCGUGGGAGGUGGGGGGGUGUGCGGAGGGUGUGUGCACACGCGCAUGGAGAAGUGGGGGGACGUCAGCCCCGGGUCCCGCGGAGCCUGGUCAGCCCUUAGGAGAGAGCUGGAGCCGCGGGGGAGCCUCCCCAAAGGAGAGGGCGUGAGAGAGCCAAGAGGAGGCAGGGAGGCAGCAAUGGGAGCUCAGGAGGUGGGCCUCUCGCACGCCGCCCCCCCCCCCCCCGGCAUUCCGGCGCACAGAGCUUCGUCGAGCCCCCGUGGGGGACCGCAGUGGGCAGCGGGGCUGCUGGAUGCCCCCACCCGUAACCGAACUCGGGGCCUCCCGCGCCAGCCUGAAGACUUAAUAAUCUCAGCGUUAGCAGGCAGCUGAGGAUGGAGGCGGCCCGCGUGGGUUGCGGGUGAGCUGGAGGCCGAGGCUGCCCCCGGGGAGACGGCCUGCUCGCCGUGCGUGCCCUCGGGCACCCUCUGGACCUUCUGAGCCCCCGGUAGGUAACAAGCACCCCACUGCCCCGGCCACCUCUCCCCAGGGCCGGGCGAGCCACCAUCUGGGUUUCCAUCCUCCCCUGGAAGAUUCACGCCGAGUUGUGGCCCCAUAAGCCCCGCUCAGAGGCCUGCUGGGCCAGCUCCUGCACUGCAGCCUCGUGACACGGUGACAUGGGCAGUGCGCACCCCGCCCUCCUCCCCUCCUGCCCCCCGCCCCGGCUCUGGAUGUGCCCACUAACGCCUGGCCAGUGUCUGUGACUUCACAGCGGGUCCCUGGGGCCCAUCAAAGUCCCAGCACUGUCAGGGGGGGUUGGACUGGAAUAAGCUCUGGGGUUUUGCCUCUUGGCUCCAGGGAGCAGGGAGCGGACCUGCUGGGACACGGGGCGCCGGCUGGUGGGGAUGAGGCCUGAGCGGGACACCCCAGCAGUGCCCAGCCCGCCCAGGGGGUGAACGUGCUCACGUGCUCACGCCUCCCCAGCCCCGCCCCGGGCCGCCCACCUGCAGUUUCCAGAGGAAGUCCAGGCGGGCGGUGGACUCCACUUGCUGGGCAUGCAGGUACAGGGCCAGCACGAAGACGGAGAUGAUGAUGGGCGUCACCACCUUCAGCGCCACCUUGGUCGCGUGCUCAGGGCUGCAGGGGGCGGCAGAUGCCCUGGCACUGCAGGCAGGUCCCAGCGCCCUGGGGCCUUUCUCUUCCUCCCGCUACGCCCCCUCUCCUCAGCCUCCUGCUCAUUCUGCCCAAGGCAGUGCCUCUCCCGGGAAGCCUUCCCGGCCCGCAGCCCGUCGCAGCGCCCGCUCGCACCCGGUGCCCUCCUCUCCCCGUGUCACUGGGAACCUUCCCUCUGGUCUCAUAGGGGGAUCGGUGAGGCCCUUGUAAAAGGCCGUGUCCAUCCCAGGUCUCUCCCAGUAGACAUGACGGGGGCCCUGCGCCCAGCAGGGAGCUUACUCCAGGUGCUCUCUCCCCCUCCCUCUGCUCCUCCCCUCACCCCCCUACCAGUUCUCUCUAAGCAGCAAUAAAAGGUCGCUGUCCCAAACCCUGCUCCCAGUCCCCAGGAAAGAGCCUGGACCUUGAGGGCUGCACAGCCUCGCUGCCCGGCAGCAGCCCAGCGCCGAGCUUACCCUGCGAAGCCCCCAGGCCUCGCCCGGCUCCUUCUCCCAGAGGGAGGGCGGCUGGGUGAGGGGGUCCCCGCCUUCCCUUCUCCUGUGCCCCAGCGCCCACCUGCUCCCGGGGAGAGCCUGAGGCCAGACGCUUUCAGAUGACGCCCGUACAACGGCCCGCGGGCCCUGCAGGCCCAGCUGCUGAGCCUGCAGGGCAUUGUGCAGCAGUGGGGACCACCCAGGGGGAGAAGGGCCUCCACCAGUUAGACCCCUUGGGACCCUUGGGGUGUUUUGCCCCCUGCCCCCCCCGCCCCCCAGGCUGCUGGCCGCCAAGGCCCAGAGUGCUGAUUCGGACAACUCGGGGGCAUGCACUCACCACUGCGAGGUCCCGUUGUUGUUGUUGAAGUCUCUGUGGACAGGAACGGGGAGGGCUGUUUGGGGCUGCCCUCUGCAUGCGCCCCCACCCGCCCAGCUCUGCUGCCCCCACUCCUGGACCCCUGCAGCACCCCCAGCACCCCUUGGGAUCCACCAAUACCUUCAGGAUGGGAGGCUUGCAGAAAGACCAGCCCCCCCCCGGCCACCAAGACUGCAAAUCAGGGCAAGGGGGUCCCCCUUCCCUGAGACCGGGGGGCCCCCCAGCACCCCUGCCCCGGGGUAGAAGCCAGCCCGCCUCCUGCCCUAGCACCGUGCUGCCUCCGGAGGCAGCGAGACACCGUGCUGCCCAGUGCGGUGGCCGCAGCCACGUGUGGCUCCUGAGCCUUCGCACGUGACUGGUGCAAGUUAAAACGUCCCGUGGUGUCUAACAGAUACCAGGUUUUGAAGUAAUCAGUGUGGGGGAAAAAUGUAAUGUGUUUCAUUAAUGAUUUUAUAUUGACUGCAAAUUAAUAUUGUGAAUGUGUUGGUUAAACAAAAAUAUUAAAAAUGCAUGUUUUGCCUUUCUAAUAUAGCCACUAGAAAAUUUUUGAAUUACACGCGUGCCUCGCAUUAUGUAUCUCCUG
Molecule: long non-coding RNA, 8582 nt
Organism: Canis lupus familiaris (dog)
Lineage: Eukaryota; Metazoa; Chordata; Mammalia; Carnivora; Canidae
Exons: 3
Source: RefSeq, a predicted model, not a curated record